Molecule: long non-coding RNA, 1633 nt
Filed under: Manihot esculenta (cassava)
Lineage: Eukaryota; Viridiplantae; Streptophyta; Magnoliopsida; Malpighiales; Euphorbiaceae
Description: long non-coding RNA (MESC_LNC000432)
Source: RNAcentral
CUUGCCUGGUUCCACCCUUGGCGACGGAUCCUAAACGGGGUAAGCAAGAACCUUCACUUCCCUAAAAUUUUUUAAUUUUUAAAUAAGGGUAAGUUUGAAUUUAAUUUAGCAAGUUGGUUUUCUUUUUAUUAAUCUAAUUAAAUAAAAAUUUAAUAAAUUAAAAUUCUAUUUUUUAUUAUAUUUAAUUCUAAUUAAAUUAUAAUUAAUUUAGAGUAAUUACAUUAAAUUUAAAUUUACUAAAUGUAUAUUUUCCUUCCACUAAAUAUAAAUAUAAAUGUUGUUUCAAUAAAUAUUUUAUCCUCCUAAUGUAAAUUCUAUUUCAGUUUUCCUAAAUGUAAAUGAUGUAUCUAUCAAUCGAUUGAUUAUUUUAUACAAUGAUUUUUUUCGCAUUUAAAAUUAAUUUUGUAAAAUUUCACAAGACAACAUUUGAUUUCUCCCAUUUAAGCCUAGAAAGCUUAAUUCUUACCAAAAAAAAAAAAUUACAAGCUUAAUUAUGUUUUCUAUUUCACCUUCACAUUUUUUUUUCUCCAUCUCUUUUUAUAAAUUAUUUAUUUUUUCCUUGUCAAUGCAAUUUGAAAUAAUAAUUUUAUAUUUUAUUAUUGCACAAAUAUAUGAUUCUUUAAAAAAAAAAUUUUAUUAUUGUGCAUAUAUAUGAUUCUCUUGGAAAAAAAAACUACAAGAGUCCUACAAAACUAAUUCCACAUGAUUGAUUGUACAAAAUACUAAAAGAUUCUUUUACACUCUCAUGUCUAAAUUUUAUAACAAGAAAAAUAUUGUGGUUAGCUUCCUCAAAAUUUUCUUGGACAAAGAAAAGGAAAGGAAAAAAAAUGCUAAAUUACAAAUGUGCCUCCAUUGUUGCUGGGCACUGAAACUAGAUCGAGAAUGGUGAUUGCUUCAUCAACCACAGGCAAAGACAUAACAAACAGAUUGAAGAAAUAAAGAAGACCACCGUUGUCGAGCAAAAUUGUACCUAGAGCCUUCCAAAGACGAAGAAAGAGGUGCUAAGGACGUUGAAAGUGCAUGCAUAGACAGAGUCCAUGAAAGCAGGGGGCACCAAUUGUCACCGAAGUAGAAGAAGGAACUUAUGUACAAUCCAGUCAAGUAUCCACUGCCAGGGUCAAGAGAGAAAACCCCUGUCAAAGCCGGUGGAAUGAAGGAGAUGGAAAGGUGGCUAUCUCGUCGAGCUCAAAGCAUCCGCUCCUCCGAACACUCUCCCACUCCCACCACUGGAAAAAAUCUUGAAGCCCAUAGCAAGAAAACCUUUAAAUAUGCAAAAACCCACAACAAAAACAAAAAGAAAAAUGAAAACAAAGCAUUGGCAACCAUAAACAACCUCCUAUAAAACGCCGUUAACACUAAUCAAACCAAAAACUGAUAUUUACACCUCCACCCGACUAGGGAGGGAAAUCCAUAAUUAGGCGGAGGUAGGUCUCCCUCCACAUAGAGGGGCAAAGAAAACCUCCAAAGAAGGCAAAGACUCAGGGGUCCUAGAAAGGGUGAAAUCAAAUACCUCAAAGAGAAAAACUCUUUCUCUAGGAGAAGAGAGAGACAGAACCACGCAAGAAUGUGUGAAAAAAUUUAGGGUAGGGCGAUUUGCAGUUGUGCUGAAUUGGGAGCAUUAAGUCUUGAUGCC